AGCCCCAUGGUCUAGCGGCAAGGACGUCAGCCUUUGGAGCUGAAAACAGCGGUUCGAAUCCGCUUGGGGCUA
Molecule: transfer RNA, 72 nt
Filed under: Candidatus Micrarchaeota archaeon CG10_big_fil_rev_8_21_14_0_10_45_29
Lineage: Archaea; Nanobdellati; Microcaldota
Description: tRNA-Gln
Rfam family: tRNA
About the family: Transfer RNA (tRNA) molecules are approximately 80 nucleotides in length. Their secondary structure includes four short double-helical elements and three loops (D, anti-codon, and T loops).
Source: RNAcentral